This 542-nucleotide ribosomal RNA is filed under the name Cygnodraco mawsoni (Mawson's dragonfish). RNAcentral describes it as "partial 16S ribosomal RNA". It matches the Rfam family "Bacterial large subunit ribosomal RNA", at positions 1852 to 2592 of the family's 2925-position model. The record is from RNAcentral. Lineage: Eukaryota; Metazoa; Chordata; Actinopteri; Perciformes; Bathydraconidae.
GGUCCGCCUGCCCUGUGACUAUUAGUUUAACGGCCGCGGUAUUUUGACCGCGCGAAGGUAGCGCAAUCACUUGUCUCUUAAAUGGAGACCUGUAUGAAUGGCACAACGAGGGCUUAGCUGUCUCCUCCCCUAAGUUAAUGAAAUUGAUCUCCCCGUGCAGAAGCGGGGAUAAAUACAUAAGACGAGAAGACCCUAUGAAGCUUUAGACCUAAGGUAGCCCGUACUACAAUACCCUCCUGAUAAAGAAACAAACCAAAAGGCCCACUACCCCAAUGUCUUUGGUUGGGGCGACCGCGGGGGAAGAAGAAACCCCCACGUGGAACGGGAGUACAACUCCUUAAACUCAGAGCCACAGCUCUAAGUAACAAAAUUUUUGACCUAAAGAUCCGGCAAUGCCGAUCAACGGACCGAGUUACUCUAGGGAUAACAGCGCAAUCCCCUUUUAGAGACCCUAUCAACAAGGGGGUUUACGACCUCGAUGUUGGAUCAGGACAUCCUAUUGGUGCAGCAGCUAUUAAGGGUUCGUUUGUUCAACGAUUAAA